UAUGACACUGUUGCGAAUUGGG
Molecule: microRNA, 22 nt
Filed under: Heligmosomoides polygyrus
Lineage: Eukaryota; Metazoa; Nematoda; Chromadorea; Rhabditida; Heligmosomidae
Description: hpo-miR-63b-3p
Gene: hpo-miR-63b-3p
Source: miRBase by way of RNAcentral